CCUACUCCGCCCGCUCCGCCUGGCUGAGAACCCAGAUCCGCGCUUGUACAGGGCGGCCGGUCGCCUCCGCCUUCAGGACCUGCGGGGCGCGCGCGAGGGUCCUGUUGCCUCCCUGCCCUUCCUUAUCACGAACCAGACACAUCAGCUCUGCCUACUUGGCCUCCUGGACAGCAUGGCCCAGAGGGCGUGCUUGACUCAGGAAACCCACAGCUGUUCCUUGUCUGCAGGAACUCUUCCGACAAAUCCAGAAAAUAGCUUGGAUAAGAAGCAGAAAGUGGCAGACAGCAAGCAGAGCUACACUCAGAAGAAAAUAGAGUUUGAGAACUGAAGCAUUUCAAAAGACAUGUUCUCACCCCCUCCACACACCAAGGCAGAAGAAAGCUGUAAAAAUUCCAUCAUUACUAAUUAAAUACUCUAAGGGAAGUAUUUUCACAUAUAAAAACCCAGCCUUCAAACAUACAUUCAAAUUGGUUCCAUAUUGUAAUGACCACAAUAAAUUAAGC
This 503-nucleotide long non-coding RNA is filed under the name Heterocephalus glaber (naked mole-rat). RNAcentral's name for it is "lncRNA (ENSHGLG00000043533.1)". Lineage: Eukaryota; Metazoa; Chordata; Mammalia; Rodentia; Bathyergidae. The record is from RNAcentral.